GAUGAACGCUGGCGGCGUGCUUAACACAUGCAAGUCGAACGAAGCAUAAGAGACAGAAUACUACGGUAGGAAGAUUUUUAUGACUGAGUGGCGGACGGGUGAGUAACGCGUGGGUAACCUGCCUCAUACAGGGGGAUAACAGUUAGAAAUGGCUGCUAAUACCGCAUAAGCGCACAGUACUGCAUGGUACAGUGUGAAAAACCUUGGUGGUAUGAGAUGGACCCGCGUCUGAUUAGCUAGUUGGUGAGGUAAGGGCUCACCAAGGCAACGAUCAGUAGCCGACCUGAGAGGGUGAACGGCCACAUUGGGACUGAGACACGGCCCAA
Molecule: ribosomal RNA, 326 nt
Filed under: uncultured bacterium
Lineage: Bacteria
Description: bacterial SSU rRNA
Rfam family: Bacterial small subunit ribosomal RNA
Source: RNAcentral